Molecule: ribosomal RNA, 442 nt
Filed under: uncultured bacterium
Lineage: Bacteria
Description: bacterial SSU rRNA
Rfam family: Bacterial small subunit ribosomal RNA
Source: RNAcentral
ACUCCUACGGGAGGCAGCAGUGGGGAAUAUUGCACAAUGGGCGCAAGCCUGAUGCAGCCAUGCCGCGUGUAUGAAGAAGGCCUUCGGGUUGUAAAGUACUUUCAGCAGUGAGGAAGGUGGUAGUGUUAAUAGCACUAUCAUUUGACGUUAGCUGCAGAAGAAGCACCGGCUAACUCCGUGCCAGCAGCCGCGGUAAUACGGAGGGUGCGAGCGUUAAUCGGAAUUACUGGGCGUAAAGCGCAUGCAGGUGGUUUGUUAAGUCAGAUGUGAAAGCCCGGGGCUCAACCUCGGAAUUGCAUUUGAAACUGGCAGACUAGAGUACUGUAGAGGGGGGUAGAAUUUCAGGUGUAGCGGUGAAAUGCGUAGAGAUCUGAAGGAAUACCGGUGGCGAAGGCGGCCCCCUGGACAGAUACUGACACUCAGAUGCGAAAGCGUGGGGAGC